This 866-nucleotide ribosomal RNA is filed under the name uncultured Bacillota bacterium. RNAcentral describes it as "bacterial SSU rRNA". It matches the Rfam family "Bacterial small subunit ribosomal RNA", at positions 43 to 921 of the family's 1533-position model. Lineage: Bacteria; Bacillati; Bacillota. The record is from RNAcentral.
CGUGCCUAACACAUGCAAGUCGAACGGAGCUCCGCCCUUCGGGACGGAACUUAGUGGCGAACGGGUGAGUAACGCGUGAAGAACCUGCCUUCCAGUGGGGGGACAACAGUUGGAAACGACUGCUAAUACCGCAUGAUACUUUUGAGGGGCAUCCCUUGAAAGUCAAAGCUUUAAGUGCUGGAAGAUGGCUUCGCGUCUGAUUAGCUAGUUGGUGGGGUAACGGCCCACCAAGGCGACGAUCAGUAGCCGGUCUGAGAGGAUGAACGGCCACAUUGGGACUGAGAUACGGCCCAGACUCCUACGGGAGGCAGCAGUGGGGAAUAUUGGGCAAUGGGGGAAACCCUGACCCAGCAACGCCGCGUGAAGGAAGAAGGCCUUCGGGUUGUAAACUUCUUUUACCAGGGACGAAGGACGUGACGGUACCUGGAGAAAAAGCAACGGCUAACUACGUGCCAGCAGCCGCGGUAAUACGUAGGUUGCAAGCGUUGUCCGGAUUUACUGGGUGUAAAGGGCGUGCAGGCGGAGGCGCAAGUUGGGAGUGAAAUCUAUGGGCUCAACCCAUAAACUGCUCUCAAAACUGUGUCCCUUGAGUAUCGGAGAGGCAAGCGGAAUUCCUAGUGUAGCGGUGAAAUGCGUAGAUAUUAGGAGGAACACCAGUGGCGAAGGCGGCUUGCUGGACGACAACUGACGCUGAGGCGCGAAAGCGUGGGGAGCAAACAGGAUUAGAUACCCUGGUAGUCCACGCUGUAAACGAUGAAUACUAGGUGUGGGUGGACUGACCCCUUCCGUGCCGCAGUUAACACAAUAAGUAUUCCACCUGGGGAGUACGACCGCAAGGUUGCAACUCAAAUGAAUUGAAGGAAUCA